This 472-nucleotide ribosomal RNA is filed under the name uncultured bacterium. Its description in RNAcentral is "bacterial SSU rRNA". It matches the Rfam family "Bacterial small subunit ribosomal RNA", at positions 26 to 507 of the family's 1533-position model. The record is from RNAcentral.
UGGCUCGAGGACGAACGCUGGCGGCGUGCUUAACACAUGCAAGUCGAACGGUAAGGCCCCUUCGGGGGUACACGAGUGGCGAACGGGUGAGUAACACGUGGGUAAUCUGCCCUGCACUUCGGGAUAAGCCUGGGAAACUGGGUCUAAUACCGGAUAUGAGCUCCUGCCGCAUGGUGGGGGUUGGAAAGUUUUUCGGUGCAGGAUGAGUCCGCGGCCUAUCAGCUUGUUGGUGGGGUAAUGGCCUACCAAGGCGACGACGGGUAGCCGGCCUGAGAGGGUGAUCGGCCACACUGGGACUGAGACACGGCCCAGACUCCUACGGGAGGCAGCAGUGGGGAAUAUUGCACAAUGGGCGAAAGCCUGAUGCAGCGACGCCGCGUGGGGGAUGACGGUCUUCGGAUUGUAAACCCCUUUCAGUAGGGACGAAGCGCAAGUGACGGUACCUGCAGAAGAAGCACCGGCCAACUACGUG